GUGUUCCUGUUAUUUCCAAGUACCCAAAUCUCCCUUUCGACGAACAAGACGACCCACCGGGCGAAGACUGGGAAGGCGCCAGCGUCUCGGGGAGUCGAGAACGACCCGCGUCAAAAGCCCCAGCUUUGGACGAGGACGGCCCGUCAUCGUCGCCUGAUCACCAGCAAUUGGCCCGAUCGUUUCAGUCUCAAGGCGACAAGCUCGCUGAGGUUGCUUACUGGGAUUGUGCCGUUUUCGAUGCGGGA
Molecule: long non-coding RNA, 245 nt
Organism: Syzygium oleosum
Lineage: Eukaryota; Viridiplantae; Streptophyta; Magnoliopsida; Myrtales; Myrtaceae
Exons: 2
Source: RefSeq, a predicted model, not a curated record